AUGCUACUACCUCCGUCCGGAAAUACUUGUCAUCAAAAUGAAUAAAAGGGGAUGUAUCUAGGUGUAUAUUAGUUCUAGAUACAUCCCUUUUUAUCCAUUUUGAUGACAAGUAUUUUCGGACGGAGGGAGUACUAU
This is a non-coding RNA of Triticum aestivum (bread wheat), 135 nucleotides long. NCBI's taxonomy places the organism in Eukaryota, Viridiplantae, Streptophyta, Magnoliopsida, Poales, Poaceae. The record is from Rfam.